CCAACAGCAGCACCAGCUGGGAACGGAAGAUCAGAGAAUGGCUAUUGAUUAAUCUAUUAGAGGUGUUAACGACUUAAUCAUUGCGGGCGUUAGCAUAUGAAAAAGUAGGAAAUGAGGGAGUGUGUGUGAAUGUGAGGACCGUAUUGACGCGGCCCCAGGUGUUGUCGGAUUUCGGGGAAUACAAUUAAAUUAGGAAAAUGCCCCACGAGCGAACAGUUUCACAAUCUUCCCGCGGGGCCGGCUCCCUCCCUGCGCGGCCGCGGACCCGCCACCCCGCGGGGUUCCCCCCCCC
Molecule: long non-coding RNA, 292 nt
Organism: Harpia harpyja (harpy eagle)
Lineage: Eukaryota; Metazoa; Chordata; Aves; Accipitriformes; Accipitridae
Exons: 3
Source: RefSeq, a predicted model, not a curated record